ACCCGUUCCCAUACCGAACACGGAAGUUAAGCUCUCUAGCGCCGAUGGUAGUUGGGACCUUGUCCCUGUGAGAGUAGGACAUCGCCAAGC
This 90-nucleotide ribosomal RNA is filed under the name Bacillus cereus. The record is from RNAcentral. Lineage: Bacteria; Bacillati; Bacillota; Bacilli; Caryophanales; Bacillaceae.